This 1553-nucleotide ribosomal RNA is filed under the name Nocardiopsis sp. TFS65-24. RNAcentral describes it as "bacterial SSU rRNA". It matches the Rfam family "Bacterial small subunit ribosomal RNA". The record is from RNAcentral. Lineage: Bacteria; Bacillati; Actinomycetota; Actinomycetes; Streptosporangiales; Nocardiopsidaceae.
AUCAUGGCUCAGGACGAACGCUGGCGGCGUGCUUAACACAUGCAAGUCGAGCGGUAAGGCCCUUCGGGGUACACGAGCGGCGAACGGGUGAGUAACACGUGAGCAACCUGCCCCCGACUCUGGGAUAAGCGGUGGAAACGCCGUCUAAUACCGGAUACGACCCGCCACCUCAUGGUGUGCGAGUGGAAAGUUUUAUCGGUUGGGGAUGGGCUCGCGGCCUAUCAGCUUGUUGGUGGGGUAAAGGCCUACCAAGGCGAUUACGGGUAGCCGGCCUGAGAGGGCGACCGGCCACACUGGGACUGAGACACGGCCCAGACUCCUGCGGGAGGCAGCAGUGGGGAAUAUUGCACAAUGGGCGAAAGCCUGAUGCAGCGACGCCGCGCGGGGGAUGACGGCCUUCGGGUUGUAAACCUCUUUUACCACUAACGCAGGCUCCACGUUCUCGUGGGGUUGACGGUAGGUGGGGAAUAAGGACCGGCUAACUACGUGCCAACAGCCGCGGUAAUACGUAGGGUCCGAGCGUUGUCCGGAAUUAUUGGGCGUAAAGAGCUCGUAGGCGACGUGUCGCGUCUGCUGUGAAAGACCGGGGCUCAACUCCGGUUCUGCAGUGGAUACGGGCACGCUAGAGGUAGGUAGGGGAGACUGGAAUUCCUGGUGUAGCGGUGAAAUGCGCAGAUAUCAGGAGGAACACCGGUGCGAAGGCGGGUCUCUGGGCCUUACCUGACGCUGAGGAGCGAAAGCAUGGGGAGCGAACAGGAUUAGAUACCCUGGUAGUCCAUGCCGUAAACGUUGGGCGCUAGGUGUGGGGACUUUCCACGGUUUCCGCGCCGUAGCUAACGCAUUAAGCGCCCCGCCUGGGGAGUACGGCCGCAAGGCUAAAACUCAAAGGAAUUGACGGGGGCCCGCACAAGCGGCGGAGCAUGUUGCUUAAUUCGACGCAACGCGAAGAACCUUACCAAGGUUUGACAUCACCCGUGGACCUGUAGAGAUACAGGGUCAUUUAGUUGGUGGGUGACAGGUGGUGCAUGGCUGUCGUCAGCUCGUGUCGUGAGAUGUUGGGUUAAGUCCCGCAACGAGCGCAACCCUUGUUCCAUGUUGCCAGCACGUAAUAGUGGGGACUCAUGGGAGACUGCCGGGGUCAACUCGGAGGAAGGUGGGGACGACGUCAAGUCAUCAUGCCCCUUAUGUCUUGGGCUGCAAACAUGCUACAAUGGCCGGUACAAUGGGCGUGCGAGACCGUAAGGUGGAGCGAAUCCCUUAAAGCCGGUCUCAGUUCGGAUUGGGGUCUGCAACUCGACCCCAUGAAGGUGGAGUCGCUAGUAAUCGCGGAUCAGCAACGCCGCGGUGAAUACGUUCCCGGGCCUUGUACACACCGCCCGUCACGUCAUGAAAGUCGGCAACACCCGAAACUUGUGGCCUAACCCCUUGUGGGAGGGAAUGAGUGAAGGUGGGGCUGGCGAUUGGGACGAAGUCGUAACAAGGUAACCGUAAGUCGUAACAAGGUAGCCGUAAGUCGUAACAAGGUAGCCGUAAGUCGUAACAAGGUAGCCGUA